Molecule: ribosomal RNA, 403 nt
Filed under: bacterium
Lineage: Bacteria
Also listed under: 1 other name
Description: partial 16S ribosomal RNA
Rfam family: Bacterial small subunit ribosomal RNA
Source: RNAcentral
UGGGGAAUAUUGCACAAUGGAGGGAACUCUGAUGCAGCGACGCCGCGUGAACGAAGAAGGCUUUCGAGUCGUAAAGUUCUUUUAUAUGGGAAGAUAAUGACGGUACCAUAAGAAAAAGCCCCGGCUAACUACGUGCCAGCAGCCGCGGUAAUACGUAGGGGGCUAGCGUUGUCCGGAAUCACUGGGCGUAAAGGGUUCGCAGGCGGAAAUGCAAGUCAGGUGUAAAAGGCAGUAGCUUAACUACUGUAAGCAUUUGAAACUGCAUAUCUUGAGAAGAGUAGAGGUAAGUGGAAUUUUUAGUGUAGCGGUGAAAUGCGUAGAUAUUAAAAAGAAUACCGGUGGCGAAGGCGACUUACUGGGCUCAUUCUGACGCGGAGGAACGAAAGCGUGGGUAGCAAACAGG